CCCGCACAAGCGGAGGAACAUGUGGUUUAAUUCGAUGAUACGCGAGGAACCUUACCUGGGCUUAAAUGGGGAGUGACAGCUGUCGAAAGAUGGUUUUCUUCGGACACUCUUCAAGGUGCUGCAUGGUUGUCGUCAGCUCGUGCCGUGAGGUGUCGGGUUAAGUCCCAUAACGAGCGCAGCCCUUACCGUUAGUUACCAUCAGGUUAAGCUGGGGACUCUAGCGGGACUGCCACCGUAAGGUGAGAGGAAGGUGGGGAUGACGUCAAAUCAGCACGGCCCUUAUGUCCAGGGCUACACACGUGUUACAAUGGCCAGUACAAAGGGCAGCUACCGGGUGACCGGAUGCUAAUCUCUAAAGCUGGUCUCAGUUCGGAUCGAAGUCUGCAACCCGACUUCGUGAAGCUGGAUUCGCUAGUAAUCGCGCAUCAGCCAUGGCGCGGUGAAUACGUUCCCGGGCCUU
Molecule: ribosomal RNA, 460 nt
Filed under: uncultured Sphingobacteriales bacterium
Lineage: Bacteria; Pseudomonadati; Bacteroidota; Sphingobacteriia; Sphingobacteriales
Description: bacterial SSU rRNA
Rfam family: Bacterial small subunit ribosomal RNA
Source: RNAcentral